GGAUAUGAGGGCAAUCUGGCUGUGACAUCUGUCACCCCAUUGAUCGCUAGGGUUGACAGGUUGCUGAUCUGGCUGGCUAGACGGGUGUCCCUUUCCUCCCUCAAUGCUCCAUGUGCAUCCCUCCCAAAGCUGCACACUUGGUCAAAGAGGAUGACCACCCCCGAUACAGGAGGACUAUUCCUUGGUCAAGGAUAUACGAGUAGCUGCACUCCCGUGCUAGAACCUCCAAACAAGCUCUGAAGUGAAGGGGAGUCUACUGAGAGGAGUUAAUGGCAAUGUCUUUUACUCUAAUAUGUCACACAUUGACUUUGUACGUGGAAUAUAU
This 325-nucleotide small nuclear RNA is filed under the name Chinchilla lanigera (long-tailed chinchilla). RNAcentral's name for it is "7SK RNA (ENSCLAG00000021675.1)". It matches the Rfam family "7SK RNA". From Rfam's summary of the family: 7SK was discovered as an abundant small nuclear RNA in the mid-70s but a possible function has only recently been suggested. The record is from RNAcentral. Lineage: Eukaryota; Metazoa; Chordata; Mammalia; Rodentia; Chinchillidae.